AUGCCUAUUGAAGAUACUCUCAUGAAGUACAAGAGAAUUGAUGAAACAAGAUGGGUUGCUUCCUCUGUUCUACCUGUGUCUUUUGCUCCCUUAAUUAUUCCUGAGCCAGAUGACAAAAUGGAGUCUGUGUCGUUACCCCCUGUGGAGCCUCUCUCUCUUCAAGCUUUGUGCCGAGCUGCCAUUCGCAAUACGCUAAGAAGCAAUGCGAAGAAAGAACAUCCAGAAAUUGAUAACAUGAAUCGUACCCGUCCAAAGAAGAAAUCUAAUCAAAAGUGGUCUCCAUUGACGCGAGUCACUGCCUUGCCUAUUUCUGUUUCCGAUUUUGUGGGUCGUCAUGAAGCAGAAUUAAAUUCUACUUUCGGCUCAGGUGAUUUUGACUGGUCCGACGAUUCUGAUGAUGCCUCUUCAUCCUCAUCCCUCGAGUACCCCCUUCACGGAAAUCCUACGUGGAACCCAGAUUCCAGUGACAACAACGAAUCCUCCAAUCACAGCAACGUAGAAGAGAACCAGAGUCAAUCAGCGGCAGAGCCAGGUAACACUAGUCCUAAGAAAUCUACAAGCAAACGUGAGUCUGCUGCCUCAAGCGAUGCAGAAAGCAACGAUUCCGAAAGUGGUGGGCUGAAAAAACGCACCAAACGUGAUUCAGCAUCAAACAACCCAAGAGUCUUCACCUGCGUGUUCCAAUCUACCCGGAGGAGUCUAGCUCGUCCAGCUUUAGUUUCACCGUGA
RNAcentral lists this long non-coding RNA (729 nucleotides) under Bemisia tabaci. RNAcentral describes it as "lncRNA ENSSSA2NGG008478". The record is from RNAcentral. Lineage: Eukaryota; Metazoa; Arthropoda; Insecta; Hemiptera; Aleyrodidae.